CAGGCAGCACAGACCCAAGGGUGAUGCUGGCAACUGCACGUGGGGACGUUGCUGGACUUAACUCUUCUUUUGCUCAUGCCCUGUGGGGCCUGCAGGCCUGUCCUGUCUGAGCAGCCCGGGGCUGUGGGCAAGGAGCCCAGGGCAGGCUCUGGGUGCAGAGAGACUGGAGUCAGGGCUGGAAAUAAUCCAGGGUGCAGGGGCUGGAGAGGUCACGGCUGAGCCCUGAGGGUGCCUCGGUGCCUGUCCUUGGAGCCGGGGAGAGGAGGAAUGCCCAUUGGAUCACUCCUGGCGGCCUGGCAUGUUCCGGGGAAGAGGAGGAGGCAGGAGCCUAUUUCUAAUCUGGAAGAAAAUACAUCAGGAUAGGCCUCAACACAAGCUACUGGUUCUGCAAACCAAGGGAAACAGGCUCAGGACCGGACACAUUUGGAGAGAGGCCAUGGGGCCUGGUAGGGAGUUGCCGGAGCCCAGGUCCUCCUCCCAGCUCUGCUGAAACCUCUCCAGGUGACCCUGGAAAAAUUCCUCUCGGCUCCUGUCUCGUCAGAUGGAAAUUAGCCUGUGGGACCCUAAGAGUCUGAGGGUGUCUUCUGGCUUGAGGAGCCCGGGGCCCCCAGAUUCCACUGCAGGUGGA
Molecule: long non-coding RNA, 628 nt
Organism: Choloepus didactylus (southern two-toed sloth)
Lineage: Eukaryota; Metazoa; Chordata; Mammalia; Pilosa; Megalonychidae
Exons: 3
Source: RefSeq, a predicted model, not a curated record